RNAcentral lists this ribosomal RNA (1707 nucleotides) under Triticum aestivum (bread wheat). RNAcentral's name for it is "partial small subunit ribosomal RNA". Lineage: Eukaryota; Viridiplantae; Streptophyta; Magnoliopsida; Poales; Poaceae. The record is from RNAcentral.
AUGGGUGCCUGCGUGUCUUCAAGCAGGAGGCGGAGACCGCAGAGAUUGCGCUGCACAUAUCGCCGUGGAAAGGUUUUGAGAAACACGCCUACCAUACGCGCCAGUGAUGUGGGGACCUGUGCUGCUUCUGGAGAAGUUGUCCAUGUGGAGACUUCCGCGGCCACUCGCAGGAAAUCUGAUGGCUCGAAUGUGACAUUCCACCUUACACAGCUGCAGUGGCAUCAUAGCGAGCUAGACUCGGAAAAUGGAAGCGUUGUAUGUCAGGAAGAAGCAUGGUUCGAUUCUGUCAGCAUUUUGGGUUCUGAUUCUGAUGAAGACUUCAGCAGUGUCAACGGAGACUUUCCUGCCAUGUCGGGCGCUGGAAGGACACACUUAGUGCAGUGUGAAGAUGCUUCAUGUAUUGCUGAUUGCAUCCAGAAGUUCGAGAAGUUUUUUGACAGUUCAUGUGUUGCUCAAGCUGUUGAACAGUACCUAACAAGAGAUGCACACUGUAUGGAUAAAUCAAGCCAAUCCGGUGUUCAGGAAGCAGAGAGGCUUAAAAUUGCAAGUUCGGAAACAUCUGAUAUCUCUGGUGCAAAGGUGGAGGAAGCAAAGACAAAAAAUGAUGGCGUAAAAAUGCUGACAAAACUUCGAAGAGGUGACGAGGCAUGCAAUAAUUUGAAGUCUUUCAAAGAUGGAGAAAAAUCUCAUGAAAGUAUCUUCAAAAGUUUGACACCAGUGUGCACGCCUCGUCAUGCUAAUAAGGUUCAGCCGUUGGGAGUGGCGAGCCCACGGGGCCAAAAGAAGAAGUCAGGAGUUGUCAGGCUCUCUUUCACGAGGACAUCUUUUGAUGGGGAGCAAACUACUGAAAUAUGCUCUAGGAGGUACUUGAUUCGUCCAAGAGCCGGGCUAUUGAUUCCUCAAGCGAGCGAGAAAAUAUCAGAAGGUUGUUGGUCCAUUCUUGAGCCUUCGAUCUUCAAGCUACGCGGAGACAGCUUUUUCAGAGACAAAAAGAAGGCAGCUGCCCCAGGAAGUUCUCCAUAUACUCCAAUCGGCGUGGACAUGUUCAUGUCACCAAGGAAAAUACAUCACAUUGCCCAGCAUAUUGAGCUACCAUCUAUAAGGCCAAGUGAGAAAGUUCCUUCUUUACUUAUCGUAAAUAUUCAGAUGCCUACAUAUCCGACUGCUAUCUUCCUUGGUGACAGCGACGGGGAAGGGAUUAACCUAGUGUUGUAUUUCAAACUGAACGACAACUUUGAGAAAGACAUUUCUCCUCACUUCUAUGAGAGUAUCAAGAGACUUGUAAGCGAUGAGGUAGAAAAGGUCAAAGGGUUUCCAUUAGACUCAACUGUUCCUUACAGGGAAAGAUUGAAAAUAUUGACUGGGUUGGUUAACCCAGAUGAUAUGAAUCUGAGUUCUGCGGAGAGGAAACUUGUGCAGGCUUAUAAUGAAAAGCCAGUUCUGUCACGGCCUCAACACAACUUCUAUGUGGGACCAAAUUACUUGGAGAUAGACCUAGAUGUGCACCGGUUUAGCUUCAUAUCGAGGAAAGGGCUCGAAGCUUUCCGGGAACGGCUGAAACAUGGUGUAAUCGAUCUGGGUCUGACUAUACAGGCCCAGAAGCAGGAAGAACUCCCUGAGAGUGUCCUGUGCAGUGUAAGGCUAAACCGGCUUGAUUUCGUCGAUCAUGGACAAAUACCAACACUCCUUCCUUGCGACGACGACUGA